This 1197-nucleotide ribosomal RNA is filed under the name Triticum aestivum (bread wheat). Its description in RNAcentral is "partial small subunit ribosomal RNA". Lineage: Eukaryota; Viridiplantae; Streptophyta; Magnoliopsida; Poales; Poaceae. The record is from RNAcentral.
AUGGAGCCGUCGGAUCUGAACACGCACCUGCCGCCGCGGAAGCGGCUGCUGGCGGGGCUCCGGACGGCGGCCGCGGCCUCCCCCUGCGACGCCGCCGAGCCCGAGCCCGCGCCCGUGCCGCCCCUGCUCCUCCCCGACGGCCUCGCGGCCCGCCUCCGCGCCAUGCCGCCGGCCAGCACGCAGCAGGAGAUCAUCCAGGCCGCCCAGCGCGCGGCCGACGCUGCCGCCGCCGCCGCCGCCGCCGCCCGGGCGGCUGCCGUCGACAAGGCGGCCGUGGCCGCCAGGGCUAGGGCUGCGGCCAGGGCUGCCAUGGAGUUCCUCGACUCCCUCUGCAUCGCUGGCGCGUCCAGAAAUGGGAUCCAGCUGCUCAAACCGAAAUCCAAGAAGAAACAUGUGCAGGUCAAGCUCCUGUACAGGCCGCCAUCGGCCAAUGGCCGGGCGAUCGAGGGGGCAGAGGAGGCUGUUGGUGGUGAUGUCACUCCCAGGCCACAUCGUCGGCGCAGGGAGAGCGACGAGGAGGUCGCUCGCAAGCUGCACCGCGUGAUGAACAGCUCGCCCCGGAUUUCCUUCACCGGACCCAAGAGACCCCACAGUAUCGCCGAUGGGAAAGAUGGGGGGUUCCAUAGUGAUGGGGGUGGGGGUGAUGCUUGCAAUGGUUCCUUGACGCACACGCCAACUGAGGUUAGUUUCGUUAACGGAGGAAGCUCUGUAGGGAAAUCCGGCGAGAGAGCUAUUCACUCCUCCAAGACUAGGGCUCCGGACGACGACGGUGAACAGUAUCCUUGGAACACUGCAAAGGGCAGCAGGCACAUUGUUAAUAAUGGAGAUGGGAUUGGAAACCUAAGCGCUGGUCGGAAAGUGAAGAUCAAGAGGAAGCAGCUGUUUUUGAACCACCAUUCUAACGGUGAACAGAGAGAAGAGCAUAAUCAAGAAACAGAGCAAUCCAGAGACCCUCCUGUGGGAGGAUACUGCAAUGAGCUCAAGUCCAAUGACGCAGAAAAGCAACCUGGUUUCGCAGACGACGCAAGGGCAGCAGCACCUGGUGGUGGUGAUGAUCCCGCGCCGACCAAGAUCACGUCCGUGUGGAAGUUCAAGAAGUUCAAACCGGCGGCGUCGUCGCACUGCUCCUCCGACAGCAAGAUGUUGUGUUCCUCGAGCUCAGCGGCUGAAACCUCUGCUUCCGUGAAGGCCGAUUGA